RNAcentral lists this ribosomal RNA (482 nucleotides) under uncultured bacterium. Its description in RNAcentral is "partial 16S ribosomal RNA". It matches the Rfam family "Bacterial small subunit ribosomal RNA", at positions 30 to 507 of the family's 1533-position model. The record is from RNAcentral.
AUUGAACGCUGGCGGCAUGCUUUACACAUGCAAGUCGAACGGUAACAGGCCGCAAGGUGCCGACGAGUGGCGAACGGGUGAGUAAUGCAUCGGAACGUGCCCAGUCGUGGGGGAUAACUACUCGAAAGAGUAGCUAAUACCGCAUACGAUCUAUGGAUGAAAGCGGGGGACCGUAAGGCCUCGCGCGAUUGGAGCGGCCGAUGUCAGAUUAGGUAGUUGGUGGGGUAAAGGCUCACCAAGCCAACGAUCUGUAGCUGGUCUGAGAGGACGACCAGCCACGCUGGGACUGAGACACGGCCCAGACUCCUACGGGAGGCAGCAGUGGGGAAUUUUGGACAAUGGGCGCAAGCCUGAUCCAGCAAUGCCGCGUGCAGGAAGAAGGCCUUCGGGUUGUAAACUGCUUUUGUACGGAACGAAACGGCUCUGGUUAAUACCCGGGGCUAAUGACGGUACCGUAAGAAUAAGCACCGGCUAACUACGUG